AAGCGGAUGAAGUUUGACAACUGC
This 24-nucleotide non-coding RNA is filed under the name Arabidopsis thaliana (thale cress). Lineage: Eukaryota; Viridiplantae; Streptophyta; Magnoliopsida; Brassicales; Brassicaceae. The record is from RNAcentral.